UACGAAGGGUGCAAGCGUUACUCGGAAUUACUGGGCGUAAAGCGUGCGUAGGUGGUCUGUUAAGUCUGAUGUGAAAGCCCUGGGCUCAACCUGGGAAUUGCAUUGGAUACUGGCAGGCUAGAGUGCGGUAGAGGGUAGUGGAAUUCCCGGUGUAGCAGUGAAAUGCGUAGAGAUCGGGAGGAACACCAGUGGCGAAGGCGACUACCUGGACCAGCACUGACACUGAGGCACGAAAGCAUGGGGAGCAAACAGG
Molecule: ribosomal RNA, 253 nt
Filed under: uncultured bacterium
Lineage: Bacteria
Description: partial 16S ribosomal RNA
Rfam family: Bacterial small subunit ribosomal RNA
Source: RNAcentral